RNAcentral lists this ribosomal RNA (694 nucleotides) under Acinetobacter nosocomialis M2. Its description in RNAcentral is "bacterial LSU rRNA". It matches the Rfam family "Bacterial large subunit ribosomal RNA", at positions 2254 to 2925 of the family's 2925-position model. The record is from RNAcentral. Lineage: Bacteria; Pseudomonadati; Pseudomonadota; Gammaproteobacteria; Moraxellales; Moraxellaceae.
GUGUCUGGUGGGUAGUUUGACUGGGGCGGUCUCCUCCUAAAGAGUAACGGAGGAGUACGAAGGUGCGCUCAGCGUGGUCGGAAAUCACGCGUAGAGUAUAAAGGCAAAAGCGCGCUUAACUGCGAGACCCACAAGUCGAGCAGGUACGAAAGUAGGUCUUAGUGAUCCGGUGGUUCUGUAUGGAAGGGCCAUCGCUCAACGGAUAAAAGGUACUCUGGGGAUAACAGGCUGAUACCGCCCAAGAGUUCAUAUCGACGGCGGUGUUUGGCACCUCGAUGUCGGCUCAUCUCAUCCUGGGGCUGAAGCAGGUCCCAAGGGUAUGGCUGUUCGCCAUUUAAAGAGGUACGCGAGCUGGGUUUAGAACGUCGUGAGACAGUUCGGUCCCUAUCUACCGUGGGCGCUGGAAAUUUGAGAGGAUCUGCUCCUAGUACGAGAGGACCAGAGUGGACGAACCUCUGGUGUACCGGUUGUGACGCCAGUCGCAUCGCCGGGUAGCUAUGUUCGGAAGGGAUAACCGCUGAAAGCAUCUAAGCGGGAAGCCUACCUCAAGAUAAGAUUUCCCUAGGAAUUUAUUCCUCUAAAGAGCCGUUCGAGACUAGGACGUUGAUAGGUUGGAUGUGGAAGCAUAGUGAUAUGUGAAGCUGACCAAUACUAAUUGCUCGUGAGGCUUGACUAUACAACACCCAAGCAGUUG